AGAGUUUGAUCUUGGCUCAGGAUGAACGCUAGCGGCAGGCUUAAUACAUGCAAGUCGAGGGGCAGCACGGGUAGCAAUACUUGGUGGCGACCGGCGCACGGGUGCGUAACGCGUAUGCAACCUACCUAUAACUGGGGGAUAGCCCGAAGAAAUUCGGAUUAAUACCCCAUAGUCUUAUGAGAUGGCAUCAUCUUAUAAGUAAAACUCCGGUGGUUAUAGAUGGGCAUGCGUGACAUUAGCUAGUUGGUGAGGUAACGGCUCACCAAGGCGACGAUGUCUAGGGGAUCUGAGAGGAUUAACCCCCACACUGGUACUGAGACACGGACCAGACUCCUACGGGAGGCAGCAGUAAGGAAUAUUGGUCAAUGGAGGCAACUCUGAACCAGCCAUGCCGCGUGAAGGAUGAAGGCCCUAUGGGUCGUAAACUUCUUUUGAAUGGGAAAAAACCCUCUUACGUGUAAGAGGCUGAUGGUACCAUUAGAAUAAGGAUCGGCUAACUCCGUGCCAGCAGCCGCGGUAAUACGGAGGAUCCAAGCGUUAUCCGGAUUCAUUGGGUUUAAAGGGUGCGUAGGCGGCUUAUUAAGUCAGUGGUGAAAUCCCGAGGCUCAACUUCGGAACUGCCAUUGAUACUGAUGAGCUUGAGUGUAAAUGAAGUGGGCGGAAUGUGUCGUGUAGCGGUGAAAUGCUUAGAUAUGACACAGAACACCGAUUGCGAAGGCAGCUCACUAAACUACAACUGACGCUGAGGCACGAAAGCGUGGGGAUCAAACAGGAUUAGAUACCCUGGUAGUCCACGCCGUAAACGUUGAUAACUCGAUGUGUGCAAUAUACCGUACGCGUCCAAGCGAAAGCGAUAGGUUAUCCACCUGGGGAGUACGACCGCAAGGUUGAAACUCAAAAGAAUUGACGGGGGCCCGCACAAGCGGAGGAGCAUGUGGUUUAAUUCGAUGAUACGCGAGGAACCUUACCUGGGCUUGAAAGUUAGCGACCGACAUUGAAAGGUGUCUUCCCUUCGGGGCGCGAAACUAGGUGCUGCAUGGCUGUCGUCAGCUCGUGCCGUGAGGUGUUGGGUUAAGUCCCGCAACGAGCGCAACCCCUACUUUUAGUUGCCAGCGAGUAAUGUCGGGGACUCUAGAAGAACUGCCGGCGCAAGCCGUGAGGAAGGUGGGGAUGACGUCAAGUCAGCACGGCCCUUACGUCCAGGGCUACACACGUGCUACAAUGGCCACUACAAUGGGUUGCUACUUGGUAACAAGAUGCUAAUCUCUAAAGGUGGUCUCAGUUCGGAUUGGGGUCUGCAACUCGACCUCAUGAAGCUGGAUUCGCUAGUAAUCGAAAAUCAGCAAUGUUUCGGUGAAUACGUUCCCGGGCCUUGUACACACCGCCCGUCAAACCAUGAAAGCUGAGGGGACCUAAAGUCGAUAACCGCAAGGAGUCGCCUAGGGUAAAAUCAGUAAUUGGGGUUAAGUCGUAACAAGGUA
This 1481-nucleotide ribosomal RNA is filed under the name metagenome. RNAcentral describes it as "bacterial SSU rRNA". It matches the Rfam family "Bacterial small subunit ribosomal RNA". The record is from RNAcentral.